Molecule: ribosomal RNA, 458 nt
Filed under: uncultured Anaerovibrio sp.
Lineage: Bacteria; Bacillati; Bacillota; Negativicutes; Selenomonadales; Selenomonadaceae
Description: partial 16S ribosomal RNA
Rfam family: Bacterial small subunit ribosomal RNA
Source: RNAcentral
ACGGGAGGCAGCAGUGGGGAAUCUUCCGCAAUGGGCGAAAGCCUGACGGAGCAACGCCGCGUGAGUGAAGAAGGUCUUCGGAUCGUAAAGCUCUGUUGAGAGGGACGAGAGAUUACUUCAGGAAAUGGGAGUAAGAGGACGGUACCUUUCGAGGAAGCCACGGCUAACUACGUGCCAGCAGCCGCGGUAAUACGUAGGUGGCGAGCGUUGUCCGGAAUUAUUGGGCGUAAAGGGAGCGCAGGUGGGACUUCAAGUCAGUCUUAAAAGUGCGGGGCUCAACCCCGUGAUGGGAUUGAAACUGUAGUUCUUGAGUGCAGGAGAGGAAAGCGGAAUUCCUAGUGUAGCGGUGAAAUGCGUAGAUAUUAGGAGGAACACCAGUGGCGAAGGCGGCUUUCUGGACUGUAACUGACACUGAGGCUCGAAAGCGUGGGGAGCGAACAGGAUUAGAUACCCUGGUA